This 460-nucleotide ribosomal RNA is filed under the name uncultured bacterium. Its description in RNAcentral is "partial 16S ribosomal RNA". It matches the Rfam family "Bacterial small subunit ribosomal RNA", at positions 338 to 795 of the family's 1533-position model. The record is from RNAcentral.
CCUACGGGUGGCAGCAGUGAGGAAUAUUGGUCAAUGGGCGCUAGCCUGAACCAGCCAAGUAGCGUGAAGGAUGACUGCCCUAUGGGUUGUAGACUUCUUUUAUAAGGGAAUAAAGUGCAGCAUGUAUGCCGCUUUGUCUGUACCUUAUGAAUAGGGAUCGGCUAACUCCGUGCCAGCAGCCGCGGUAAUACGGAGGAUCCGAGCGUUAUCCGGAUUUAUUGGGUUUAAAGGGAGCGUAGACGGGUUGUUAAGUCAGUUGUGAAAGUUUGCGGCUCAACCGUAAAAUUGCAAUUGAUACUGGCAGCCUGGAGUACAGUAGAGGUAGGCGGAAUUCGUGGUGUAGCGGUGAAAUGCUUAGAUAUCACGAAGAACUCCGAUUGCGAAGGCAGCUUACUAGACUGUAACUGACGUUGAUGCUCGAAAGUGUGGGUAUCAAACAGGAUUAGAUACCCCAGUAGUC